Molecule: ribosomal RNA, 496 nt
Filed under: uncultured bacterium
Lineage: Bacteria
Description: partial 16S ribosomal RNA
Rfam family: Bacterial small subunit ribosomal RNA
Source: RNAcentral
GAUGAACGCUGGCGGCGUGCCUAAUACAUGCAAGUCGAGCGAACAGACGAGGAGCUUGCUCCUCUGACGUUAGCGGCGGACGGGUGAGUAACACGUGGAUAACCUACCUAUAAGACUGGGAUAACUUCGGGAAACCGGAGCUAAUACCGGAUAAUAUAUUGAACCGCAUGGUUCAAUAGUGAAAGACGGUUUUGCUGUCACUUAUAGAUGGAUCCGCGCCGCAUUAGCUAGUUGGUAAGGUAACGGCUUACCAAGGCAACGAUGCGUAGCCGACCUGAGAGGGUGAUCGGCCACACUGGUACUGAGACACGGUCCAGACUCCUACGGGAGGCAGCAGUAGGGAAUCUUCCGCAAUGGGCGAAAGCCUGACGGAGCAACGCCGCGUGAGUGAUGAAGGUCUUCGGAUCGUAAAACUCUGUUAUUAGGGAAGAACAAAUGUGUAAGUAACUAUGCACGUCUUGACGGUACCUAAUCAGAAAGCCACGGCUAACUACGU